Molecule: ribosomal RNA, 497 nt
Filed under: uncultured bacterium
Lineage: Bacteria
Description: partial 16S ribosomal RNA
Rfam family: Bacterial small subunit ribosomal RNA
Source: RNAcentral
GAUGAACGCUGGCGGCGUGCCUAAUACAUGCAAGUCGAGCGAACGGACGAGAAGCUUGCUUCUCUGAUGUUAGCGGCGGACGGGUGAGUAACACGUGGAUAACCUACCUAUAAGACUGGGAUAACUUCGGGAAACCGGAGCUAAUACCGGAUAAUAUUUUGAACCGCAUGGUUCAAAAGUGAAAGACGGUCUUGCUGUCACUUAUAGAUGGAUCCGCGCUGCAUUAGCUAGUUGGUAAGGUAACGGCUUACCAAGGCAACGAUGCAUAGCCGACCUGAGAGGGUGAUCGGCCACACUGGAACUGAGACACGGUCCAGACUCCUACGGGAGGCAGCAGUAGGGAAUCUGCCGCAAUGGGCGAAAGCCUGACGGAGCAACGCCGAGUGAGUGAUGAAGGUCUUCGGAUCGUAAAACUCUGUUAUUAGGGAAGAACAUAUGUGUAAGGAACUGUGCACAUCUUGACGGUACCUAAUCAGAAAGCCACGGCUAACUACGUG